Molecule: ribosomal RNA, 354 nt
Filed under: uncultured bacterium
Lineage: Bacteria
Description: bacterial SSU rRNA
Rfam family: Bacterial small subunit ribosomal RNA
Source: RNAcentral
AGAGUUUGAUCAUGGCUCAGGAUGAACGCUAGCUACAGGCUUAACACAUGCAAGUCGAGGGGAAACGACAUCGAAAGCUUGCUUUUGAUGGGCGUCGACCGGCGCACGGGUGAGUAACGCGUAUCCAACCUGCCCACCACUUGGGGAUAACCUUGCGAAAGUAAGACUAAUACCCAAUGACGUCUCUAGAAGACAUCUGAAAGAGAUUUAAAGAUUUUAUCGGUGAUGGAUGGGGAUGCGUCUGAUUAGCUUGGUUGGCGGGGUAACGCCACAAGGCUACGAUCAGUAGGGGUUCUGAGAGGAAGGUCCCCCCANAUUGGAACUGAGACACGGUCCAAACUCCUACGGGAGGCA